Molecule: non-coding RNA, 391 nt
Organism: Hydra vulgaris (swiftwater hydra)
Lineage: Eukaryota; Metazoa; Cnidaria; Hydrozoa; Anthoathecata; Hydridae
Source: RefSeq, a predicted model, not a curated record
CGUUUAUUUGCAUAGAGUAACAACAGUUUUCUUCUGAACUUGAUUUGUGGAUUGCAAAAUGGACCAGAGUUAAAAAUGAAGGAGGUUAUCUACUAUCUACAGUAUUAGAUGGUUUGGAUUAUUGUCCAGAUCUAUUGUUCUCAAGUAUAAGAACAAUACUUUUAAUUAUUGGUUGUCUGUCUAUUAGCAUCAGCUGAAAGAAGUUUUUCUACUUUGAGAAGAUUAAAAGAUUGGUUACGAUCCCGAAUGAGUCAAGAUAGAUUGAAUGGUUUAGCUCUAAUUUAUGUUCAUAGGGAAAAAGAAUUGUCAACAGAUAGCAUUAUUGAACGGUUUUCAAGAGUUAAAAAAAGAAACUUUGAAUUUAUAUUGUAAUGUUGCAUUUAUUUUAUAG